UCAAGCAGGUAAAAUACAAGGUGUCA
RNAcentral lists this non-coding RNA (26 nucleotides) under Homo sapiens (human). Lineage: Eukaryota; Metazoa; Chordata; Mammalia; Primates; Hominidae. The record is from RNAcentral.